RNAcentral lists this ribosomal RNA (492 nucleotides) under uncultured bacterium. RNAcentral's name for it is "partial 16S ribosomal RNA". It matches the Rfam family "Bacterial small subunit ribosomal RNA", at positions 29 to 507 of the family's 1533-position model. The record is from RNAcentral.
AGUGAACGCUGGCGGUAGGCCUAACACAUGCAAGUCGAACGGCAGCACAGUAAGAGCUUGCUCUUACGGGUGGCGAGUGGCGGACGGGUGAGGAAUACAUCGGAAUCUACUUUUUCGUGGGGGAUAACGUAGGGAAACUUACGCUAAUACCGCAUACGACCUACGGGUGAAAGCAGGGGAUCUUCGGACCUUGCGCGAUUGAAUGAGCCGAUGUCGGAUUAGCUAGUUGGCGGGGUAAAGGCCCACCAAGGCGACGAUCCGUAGCUGGUCUGAGAGGAUGUUCAGCCACACUGGAACUGAGACACGGUCCAGACUCCUACGGGAGGCAGCGGUGGGGACUAUUGGACACUGGGCGCAAGCCUGCUCCAGCCAUACCGCGUGGGUGAAGCAGGCCUUCGGGUUGUAAAGCCCUUUUGUUGGGAAAGAAAAGCAGCAGGUUAAUACCCCGCUGUUCUGACGGUACCCAAAGAAUAAGCACCGGCUAACUUCGUG